Molecule: long non-coding RNA, 731 nt
Organism: Bombus huntii
Lineage: Eukaryota; Metazoa; Arthropoda; Insecta; Hymenoptera; Apidae
Exons: 3
Source: RefSeq, a predicted model, not a curated record
UGCUAUCACAUUAAUGUAGCACACGGUAUUGACACACACAAUAUCAUGGAACACAAAACAAUAUUACAAAAACACUACUAAGUAAAAUUAUAGUGAUUAACAAUUAACUAACUAUUUCAACGACACGCUACUGUUGACAUUAAACCAACGCCAUACCAAAGAUACACGCGAGCGGCCAUGUUGAAAAAUUCGUCGCGCGCGCAUACAAACAAUAGCCAAUACAAUGUAAUACAGCAUCAUAAUAGCAAUGUUAGGUACGAAUAAAAAAGAAAAAAAAGGGAGAGAGUUAAGGCAAAUAUAUAUAGUAAAUAACAACUAACAUAAUCAUAACAUAUUAUAUAUAUUAUACUAUAUACAGAGAUACAGUAUUCAUACAAGGAACAGGUCCGAAUGAAACAUAUAUAUAAAAAAAAAAAUAUAAUAUAUAUAUAUAUUAACUAUUUUUGUAUGUGUGUACAGAACUGAUGGCGAAUUCAUCAACCAUUCUCUGAACGACGGAUGGAAGAACAUGUAGGUGUUGUCCAGACGUUUCACGAGGAAUCUAGAAAGCAUUUUGAAUCUCUGCAGAAAAUCCUUCCAUGCAUGUUCGUUUACAAAAACCUGACAGACAUCGAAAGAAUUUUUUUUUUUAUUUUUAGAAUAGCAAUCCGCACCGUAGAACUGUAAAGCACCUGUACGCCACUCACGAAACCAAAUACUUUUGCUAUCCAUCUGUAAACAAACAACAUCUA